CUUCGGAAUCUUGAGAGCGGCGUACGGGUGCGGAACACGUGUGCAACCUGCCUUUAUCAGGGAGAUAGCCUUUCGAAAGGAAGAUUAAUAUCCCAUAAUAUUUUGACUGGCAUCAGUUGAAAUUGAAAGCUCCGGCGGAUAGAGAUGGGCACGCGCAAGAUUAGAUAGUUGGCGGGGUAACGGCCCACCAAGUCAAUGAUCUUUAGGGGGCCUGAGAGGGUGAUCCCCCACACUGGUACUGAGACACGGACCAGACUCCUACGGGAGGCAGCAGUGAGGAAUAUUGGACAAUGGGUGAGAGCCUGAUCCAGCCAUCCCGCGUGAAGGACGACGGCCCUAUGGGUUGUAAACUUCUUUUGUAUAGGGAUAAACCUACCCUCGUGAGGGUAGCUGAAGGUACUAUACGAAUAAGCACCGGCUAACUCCGUGCCAGCAGCCGCGGUAAUACGGAGGGUGCAAGCGUUAUCCGGAUUUAUUGGGUUUAAAGGGUCCGUAGGCGGACUCGUAAGUCAGUGGUGAAAUCUCAUAGCUUAACUAUGAAACUGCCAUUGAUACUGCGGGUCUUGAGUAAGGUAGAGGUAGCUGGAAUAAGUAGUGUAGCGGUGAAAUGCAUAGAUAUUACUUAGAACACCAAUUGCGAAGGCAGGUUACCAUGUCUUAACUGACGCUGAUGGACGAAAGCGUGGGGAGCGAACAGGAUUAGAUACCCUGGUAGUCCACGCCGUAAACGAUGCUAACUCGUUUUUGGGCUUUCGGGUUCAGAGACUAAGCGAAAGUGAUAAGUUAGCCACCUGGGGAGUACGUUCGCAAGAAUGAAACUCAAAGGAAUUGACGGGGGCCCGCACAAGCGGUGGAUUAUGUGGUUUAAUUCGAUGAUACGCGAGGAACCUUACCAAGGCUUAAAUGGGAAUUGACAGGUUUAGAAAUAGACUUUUCUUCGGACAAUUUUCAAGGUGCUGCAUGGUUGUCGUCAGCUCGUGCCGUGAGGUGUUAGGUUAAGUCCU
Molecule: ribosomal RNA, 1004 nt
Filed under: Chryseobacterium soli
Lineage: Bacteria; Pseudomonadati; Bacteroidota; Flavobacteriia; Flavobacteriales; Weeksellaceae
Description: bacterial SSU rRNA
Rfam family: Bacterial small subunit ribosomal RNA
Source: RNAcentral